CCAAGGCUAAACUUCAGAGCUAGCUGUGGCAGAGAGCUCCAGGUGGACAGAUAAACCAGAGGUGACCCAGUCACUUGGGCUGGCUCCAGUCCUGACAAGAUUAUAUUCAGUUGAAAUGAUCUACUUAUGUAUGUAAAAAUUAGUUGAAUAAUUUCAGUAGACUAACAGGAAAAAAUGGGACCUGUGAAGAUGGUGUCUUCAUGCAACACUGGUGGAAACAUUAAAGCUCACACUUUGAUGCCCAGUGGGCUCUGGACAGAUCCUAGCUCUAACAUUUCAUGGGUGUCCUUGAAUUCAAUUUCUGUACAACUCAGAUCCCUCACAUAUUAGCUGAGAACAAUAGCACCUUCUAUAUACAGUAAUUGUAAGGCCUAAAAGGAUCUAGCCCUUCAAAACAAUUUCUCAAAGAAUAGUAACUAUUAUUACUCUCUACUAUGCGAUUAAAUGAUGGAGCUCAUGUGUCCAGGCCUUGGGAGCCAUUUGUCCCAGGUGAGGCCAGGCAGAUGCUUUUGGAUUUGGUGGGUAGGAUGCGCAUCUUGCAGCCUCAGUCCAAGACAAUAAAGCAGGUAUGUGUCCUUUGUGCUGGCUUGCAUUUUGAAGGAACUAAAAAGACUAGAAAAUCGGCACGCUUUCCCAGCAGGAACUUCUGAUCUGGCA
Long non-coding RNA from Heterocephalus glaber (naked mole-rat), 657 nucleotides. Lineage: Eukaryota; Metazoa; Chordata; Mammalia; Rodentia; Bathyergidae. The record is from Ensembl.